RNAcentral lists this ribosomal RNA (748 nucleotides) under uncultured bacterium. Its description in RNAcentral is "bacterial SSU rRNA". It matches the Rfam family "Bacterial small subunit ribosomal RNA", at positions 64 to 845 of the family's 1533-position model. The record is from RNAcentral.
GAACGAGAAAGGGGAGCAAUCCCUGAGUAAAGUGGCGUACGGGUGAGUAACACGUGGGUUAUCUGCCUCUUUGUGUGGAAUAACCCUGGGAAACCGGGGCUAAUACCGCAUAAGCCCGAGAGGGGAAAGCAGCAAUGCGCUGAGAGAGGAGCCCGCGGCCGAUUAGCUAGUUGGUGAGGUAACGGCCCACCAAGGCAAAGAUCGGUAGCCGGCCUGAGAGGGCACACGGCCACACUGGCACUGAAACACGGGCCAGACUCCUACGGGAGGCAGCAGUGGGGAAUCUUGCACAAUGGGGGAAACCCUGAUGCAGCGACGCCGCGUGAGCGAUGAAGCCCUUCGGGGUGUAAAGCUCUUUCGGCAGGGAAGAUGAUGACGGUACCUGCAGAAGCAGCUGCGGCUAACUACGUGCCAGCAGCCGCGGUAAUACGUAGGCAGCAAGCGUUGUUCGGAGUUACUGGGCGUAAAGGGUGUGUAGGCGGUCCCUUAAGUUUGGUGUGAAAUCUCCCGGCUCAACCGGGAGGGUGCGCCGAAUACUGAGGGGCUAGAGUGCGGGAGAGGAGAGUGGAAUUCCUGGUGUAGCGGUGAAAUGCGUAGAUAUCAGGAGGAACACCGGUGGUGUAAACGGCUCUCUGGACCGUAACUGACGCUGAAACACGAAAGCGUGGGUAGCAAACAGGAUUAGAUACCCUGGUAGUCCACGCCCUAAACGAUGCAUAUUUGGUGUGGGUCAUUCAGUUGAUCCGUG